CUACUGGACUAGAGUGUGGUAGGGGCAGAGGGAAUUCCCGGUGUAGCGGUGAAAUGCGUAGAUAUCGGGAAGAGCACCAGUGGCGAAGGCGCUCUGCUGGGCCAUAACUGACGCUCAUGGACGAAAGCCAGGGGAGCGAAAGGGAUUAGAUACCCCUGUAGUCCUGGCCGUAAACGAUGAACACUAGGUGUCGGGGGAAUCGACCCCCUCGGUGUCGUAGCCAACGCGUUAAGUGUUCCGCCUGGGGAGUACGCACGCAAGUGUGAAACUCAAAGGAAUUGACGGGGGCCCGCACAAGCGGUGGAGUAUGUGGUUUAAUUCGAUGCAACGCGAAGAACCUUACCAGGGUUUGACAUCCUGCGAAUCUCCCGGAAACGGGAGAGUGCCUUCGGGAACGCAGUGACAGGUGGUGCAUGGCUGUCGUCAGCUCGUGUCGUGAGAUGUUGGGUUAAGUCCCGCAACGAGCGCAACCCACGUCUUUAGUUGCCAGCAUUCAGUUGGGCACUCUAGAGAGACCGCCGGUGAUAAACCGGAGGAAGGUGUGGAUGACGUCAAGUCAUCAUGCCCCUUACAUCCUGGGCUACACACGUACUACAAUGCUACGGACAAAGAGCAGCAAGUUCGCGAGGACAAGCAAAUCUCAUAAACCGUGGCUCAGUUCAGAUCGUAGGCUGCAACUCGCCUACGUGAAGGAGGAAUCGCUAGUAAUCGCAGGUCAGCAUACUGCGGUGAAUACGUUCCCGGGCCUUGUACACACCGCCCGUCACACCAUGGAAGUUGGCCACGCCCGAAGCCGUUACUCCAACCCUUGUGGAGGAGGACGUCGAAGGUGGGGCUGAUGACUGGGGUGAAGUCGUAACAAGGUAGCCGUA
This 872-nucleotide ribosomal RNA is filed under the name uncultured bacterium. Its description in RNAcentral is "bacterial SSU rRNA". It matches the Rfam family "Bacterial small subunit ribosomal RNA", at positions 633 to 1504 of the family's 1533-position model. The record is from RNAcentral.